Molecule: unclassified non-coding RNA, 337 nt
Filed under: soil metagenome
Description: partial contains 5.8S ribosomal RNA, internal transcribed spacer 2, and large subunit ribosomal RNA
Rfam family: 5.8S ribosomal RNA (bases 1-120)
Source: RNAcentral
GAUGAAGAACGUAGCGAAAUGCGAUAAGUAAUGUGAAUUGCAGAAUUCAGUGAAUCAUCGAAUCUUUGAACGCACAUUGCGCCCCCCAGUAUUCUGGCGGGCAUGCCUGUUCGAGCGUCAUUUCAACCAUCAAGCCCUGCUUGUGUUGGGGUCCUGCGGCUGCCCGCAGGCCCUGAAAACCAGUGGCGGGCUCGCUAGUCACACCGAGCGCAGUAGCACAUCUCGCUCAGGGCGUGCGGCGGGCUCCUGCCGUGAAACCCCCCACUGUAACCCCAAAGGUUGACCUCGGAUCAGGUAGGAAUACCCGCUGAACUUAAGCAUAUCAAUAAGCGGAGGA